Molecule: long non-coding RNA, 2925 nt
Filed under: Homo sapiens (human)
Lineage: Eukaryota; Metazoa; Chordata; Mammalia; Primates; Hominidae
Description: HSALNT0176655
Source: RNAcentral
UCCUGAUCUCAAGUGAUUCGCCCGCCUCAGCCUCCCAAAGUGCUGGGAUUACAGGCGUGAGCCACCAAACCCAGCCUAAAAAUCCAAAGUUAAAAAAAAAAUGCUUCAUACGCUUAACAAAUGUAUUACAUGAUUCCAUUUUUGCAACAUUAUAUAACUAUAGGCAUUGAGAAAUGCACCAAGGGCUGGGUGCAGUGGCUCACACUUGUAAUCUCAGCACUUUGGGAAGGCAAGGCAGGAGGAUUGCUUGAGGCCAGGAGUUCGAAACCAGCCUGGGCAACAUAGGGAGAAUGUCUCUACAGAAACAAAAAUAAUAAUAAUCAGCUGAGCGUGAUGUGUGCCUGUAGUUCCAGCUACUUGGGAGGCUGAGGCAGGAGGAUUGUUUGACCCCAAAGAGUUUGAGGCUGCAAUAAGCUGUGAUCACACCACUGCACUGAAGCCUGAGUGACAGAGGGAGACCCUGUCUCAAAAAAAAAAAAAAAAAAAAAAAAAAAAGGCUGGGUGCGGUGGCUCACACCUGUAAUCCCAGCACUUUGGGAGGCCGAGGCAGGCAGAUCAUGAGGUCAGGAGAUUGAGACCAUCCUGGCUAACACGGUGAAACCCCAUCUCUACUAAAAAUACAAAAAAAAAAAUAGCUGAGUGUGGUGGCAGGUGCCUGUAGUCCCAGCUACUCAGGAGGCUGAGGCAGGAGAAUGGCGUGAACCCGGGAGGCAGAGCUUGCAGUGAGCUGAGAUCACGCCACUGUACUCCAGCCUGGGCAACAGAGCGAGACUCCGUCUCAAAAAAUAAAAAAUAAAAAAUACAUUGAGGUGGCUCACAUCUAUAAUCCCAACUACUCAGAAGGCUGAAGUGGGAUCACUCAAGGCCAGGAAUUCAAGACCAGCCUGGGCAACAUGGGUAGACCUCUGUCUCUACAAAAAAUAAAAAAUUAGUUGGGUAUGGUAGUGUGAGCCUGUAGUCUCAGCUACUCAUGAGGACUGAGGUGGGAGGAUGGCUUGAGCCCCAGAGGCAGGGGUGGCAGUGAGUGGAGGUGACACCACUGCACUCCAGCCUGGGUGACAGAAUGAGAACCCAUCUCAAAAAACAAAAAAAGGCUGGGCACAGUAUUUCACACCUGUAAUCGCAACACUUUUGGAGGCCAAGGCAGGCAGAUCACUUGAGACCAGGAGUUCAAAACCAGCCUGUCCAACAUGGAGAAACCCCAUCUCUACUAAAAAGACAAAAAUUAGCCGGGUGUACUGGUGCACACCUGAAGUCCUAGCUACUCAGGAGGCUGAGGCAGGAGAAUCACCUGAACCCGUGAGGCAGAGGUUGCAGUGAGCCGAGAUCGCAUCACUGCACUCCAGUCAGGGCAACAGAGCAAGACUCCAAUCUCAAAAGAAAAAGAAAAACAGAAAAAGAUGCGGCCGGGCGCAGUGGCUCACACCUGUAAUCCCAGCACUUUGGGAGGCCGAGGCAGGCAGAUCACCUGAGGUCAGGAGUUCAAGACCAGUCUGCCCAACAUGGCAAAACCCCAUCUCUACUCAAAAUACAAAAAUUAGCCAGGCAUGCCUGUAAUCCCAGCUACUCAGGCGGCUGAGGCAGGAAAAUCACUUGAACCCAGGAAGGCGGAGGUUGUAGUGAGCCAAGAUCAGGCCACUGCACUCCAGCCUAGGUGACAGAGUGAGACUCCGUCUCAAAAAAAAAAAAAAAAAUUAAACGACACUUAACUGUGAGUCAGCCCUUCCACUCCAAACUAUUUACCCACAAGAAAUGAUAGAAUAUAUCCAACAAAGACAGGUACAUGAAUGUUUAUAGCAGCUUUAUUUGUAAUAGUUCACAACGGAACAUGGUCCAAAUGUCCAUCAACAGGUGAACAGCUAACCAAACUGGUGCAUCCAAACAAUGGAAUACUACUUGGCAAUAAAAAGGAAUAAAAUAUUAAUGCAUGCAACAGGGAUGACUCGCAAAUCCUUAUGCUCAGCUAAGCAAGAAGCCAGACAAAACACAAGUACAUACUGUGUGAUUCUAUUUACAUACAUUCUAGAAAGUGCAGAUUAACCUGUAGUGACAGAAAGCAGCACAGUUGUUACUUGGGGAUGGGAGGCAAGAAGCAGGAGGGUGGGCUUACCAAGGGCAUGGGAAACUUUCCAGAGUGAAGGGGAUGGUGAUUAUCUUGAUUGUGGAAAUAGCUUCACGGGUGUACACGUAUGUCAAAAGUCAUCACGUACACAUUUUUAUAUGCAGCUUAUUGUAUGCCAAUUAUGCCUCAAUAAAACUGUCUUUCAACAAUACACACUAGAAGGCAGCAACUGCAAAGUGGCAAUUCCAGAGUUCUGUGCAGGACGCUGCAGUGAUUCCGCCCCACUUGUUUUCACCAUCUAGGGAAACGUCCUCUUCGUUUUUGGUCUUGUCUUUCAAGCGAGUUCUAUUUUUUCGGUGAUUACUUUUAAAUAUUUUUUAAAAAUUUUUUUCCUUUUUUUUUUUUUCUUUUUGAGACAGGUUCUCACUCUGUCACCCAGGCUGGAGUGCAGUGGCAAGUUCAUAGCUCACUGCAGCCUUGAACUCCUAGGCUCAAGCAAUCCUCCCACCUUAGCCUCCAGAGUAGCUGGGACUGCAGGCGAGUGCCACCAUGUCCAGCUAAUUUGUGUAUCUUUUGUAGAGACAGGGUUUUGUCAUGUUGCCCAGGCUGGUCUAGAACUCCUGGGUUCAAGUGAUCUGCCUGCCUCAGUUUCCCAAAGUGCUGGGAUUACAGACAUGAACCACCAUGCCCAAACUAAAAUUUUAUGACAUAAUAUUUGAUACAUACAAAAGGAUGUGUGGCACCUUAUGUGAGUUAGGAACUGAGUUAUAACUUAAAUACCCAUGAACCUACCACCAAACCUGAGAGCUAAGAUAUUACCAAUACCUUUAAAAAUUCCUGGGCUCCUUCCUUAUCCCAUCCCA